RNAcentral lists this non-coding RNA (217 nucleotides) under Micromonospora rifamycinica. Lineage: Bacteria; Bacillati; Actinomycetota; Actinomycetes; Micromonosporales; Micromonosporaceae. The record is from RNAcentral.
AUGGUGUGCCACGCAGCUGGUUCGGCCGGGCCCGGUGGUCCGGUCGAGGCAACAGGGAACCCGGUGUAAAUCCGGGACUGCCCCGCAGCGGUGAGUGGGAACGACCGCCGUCAUCGAGCACUGGACCGCGAGGUCUGGGAAGCGACGGCCAGUAGGCGACCGGUGGACCCCGGUCCGGCCCGCGAGUCCGAAGACCUGCCAGCGCGCCGUGCGCUGC